CUACGUGCCAGCAGCCGCGGUAAUACGGGGGGUGCGAGCGUUAAUCGGAAUAACUGGGCGUAAAGGGCACGCAGGCGGUGACUUAAGUGAGAUGUGAAAGCCCCGGGCUUAACCUGGGAAUUGCAUUUCAUACUGGGUCGCUAGAGUACUUUAGGGAGGGGUAGAAUUCCACGUGUAGCGGUGAAAUGCGUAGAGAUGUGGAGGAAUACCGAAGGCGAAGGCAGCCCCUUGGGAAUGUACUGACGCUCAUGUGCGAAAGCGUGGGGAGCAAACAGGAUUAGAUACCCUGGUAGUCCACGCUGUAAACGAUGUCGAUUUGGGGGUUGAACUUUGUGUUUGGCGCCCGUAGCUAACGUGAUAAAUCGACCGCCUGGGGAGUACGGCCGCAAGGUUAAAACUCAAAUGAAUUGACGGGGGCCCGCACAAGCGGUGGAGCAUGUGGUUUAAUUCGAUGCAACGCGAAGAACCUUACCUACUCUUGACAUCCAGAGAACAUUC
Molecule: ribosomal RNA, 498 nt
Filed under: uncultured bacterium
Lineage: Bacteria
Description: bacterial SSU rRNA
Rfam family: Bacterial small subunit ribosomal RNA
Source: RNAcentral